CAUAGUAAAGAUCAUCAACCCAGUCAUGGUGCAAUUGAAGUUGCCCCAAUUGUUAGGGAAAAUACACCCGGUAUUCCAUAGUAGCCUAUUAAAACCUGUGGUCGGAUUAGUGCUGAGGCCCCUACCUCAUGAGCCCCCAGUUCUCAUGGUCAUAGGAGGCCAAACCCAUUAUGAGGUGCAGCAAAUCCUUGAUUCGAGGUGGCACAGGAGACAACUCCAAUAUUUAAUCAAGUGGAAGGGCUACCCCUUAUCAGAGGCAUCAUGGGUAAAAAGUAGGAACGUCCAAGCCGAUCUCCUUGUAGUAAGGUUCCAUGCAGAAAAUCCAACCAAGCCUGGGUGAGGGGGUUUCAUGAGCAUAACCUUCCAUAUCUGCAAUCAAAUUGAUUUUGUGUGUGUUGUACAGGUCACCUUCAAGAAGUGAGGGGAGCCGAAUGUCAACUCAUAAAACAUUUUGUA
Molecule: non-coding RNA, 456 nt
Organism: Pseudonaja textilis
Lineage: Eukaryota; Metazoa; Chordata; Lepidosauria; Squamata; Elapidae
Source: RefSeq, a predicted model, not a curated record